GGGCCUGUAGUUCAGUGGUAGAACGCCUCAUUUGCAAUGAGGAAAUCGCGGGUUCGACUCCCGCCGGGUCCA
Molecule: transfer RNA, 72 nt
Filed under: Candidatus Nealsonbacteria bacterium RBG_13_42_11
Lineage: Bacteria; Candidatus Nealsoniibacteriota
Description: tRNA-Ala
Rfam family: tRNA
About the family: Transfer RNA (tRNA) molecules are approximately 80 nucleotides in length. Their secondary structure includes four short double-helical elements and three loops (D, anti-codon, and T loops).
Source: RNAcentral